Molecule: regulatory RNA element, 121 nt
Organism: Paenibacillus pini JCM 16418
Lineage: Bacteria; Bacillati; Bacillota; Bacilli; Caryophanales; Paenibacillaceae
Rfam family: PyrR binding site
About the family: This family represents the PyrR binding site and terminator structure. This RNA structure is found upstream of a variety of genes involved in pyrimidine biosynthesis and transport.
Source: Rfam
AUUACCUUUAAUACGGUCCAGAGAGGCUGAAAAGGGAUACUUGAUAGGUGAAGCUAUUAUCUUUUUAAUAUCUUUGUUAUUUCAUGCCCUUUUGUCUAAUCUGACGAAAGGGCAUUUUGUU